AUUCUGCAAAUAGCAAAGUCUCACAAUCAACUGAGAUUCUACAGCUAAGAGGAAAAGCUCUUCCAGGAUAUUCGGGAUUGGACCUCUUAAGAGAGUAAGAAAAAUGUUCUUCAUAUUUAAUCAGCCAAGCAGAAAACCCAAAGAGGAAAGUUUUACAAAGACUAAAAAUAGAUGGAAAGAUGCAAGUCUUUGCUACAACCUAGGUAUAACUACAACCAAACUUUGACUGAAAGAUGGAGAACUAAUUGGUUCUGACACUUCUAAAGGAAGAAGAUUCAGGAAUUAUUAUCUAGCACCCAGUCUAGAACCAACCUUUCCAUCAUUUUAAAUAUUAUACUUGACAGUAACAUCAGCUGUUCCAUCUGAUGAUAAAGGACAAAGAGUGGUGAGCUGCAUUUCCUGAGUCUCAGCCGAUUUCCCAGCAGAAAUUCCAGUCUGAGGAAGAAUCAGCAAAAGGAAGCCCUCACUGAGAGACACACUGGUAUCAUUCACUGAGUACAGACAGCGAAAGAGGAACAUUUCUAAAGGCAAUUUAGAUUAUUAGUCUAUAUACUUACAUAGCAAAUACAGAUUUAACUUUGCA
This is a long non-coding RNA of Mustela lutreola (European mink), 583 nucleotides long. RefSeq lists it as uncharacterized. NCBI's taxonomy places the organism in Eukaryota, Metazoa, Chordata, Mammalia, Carnivora, Mustelidae. The record is from RefSeq and is a predicted model, not a curated record. The transcript has 3 exons.